Molecule: small nuclear RNA, 108 nt
Organism: Anolis carolinensis (green anole)
Lineage: Eukaryota; Metazoa; Chordata; Lepidosauria; Squamata; Anolidae
Source: Ensembl
UCUGAAAUACUAAUUAAAAGCAGAUUAUCGUUGGAACGAGAAAAGAGAAUAUUAGCAUGGCCCCUGCGCAAGGAUGACACGCAAAUUCGUGAAGCGUUCCAUAUUUUU